RNAcentral lists this unclassified non-coding RNA (787 nucleotides) under uncultured Prochlorococcus sp. RNAcentral's name for it is "partial 16S-23S ribosomal RNA intergenic spacer; may also contain 16S ribosomal RNA and 23S ribosomal RNA". The stretch from base 1 to 93 matches the Rfam family "Bacterial small subunit ribosomal RNA", at positions 1441 to 1533 of the family's 1533-position model. Lineage: Bacteria; Bacillati; Cyanobacteriota; Cyanophyceae; Synechococcales; Prochlorococcaceae. The record is from RNAcentral.
UUGUGGAGGAGGACGCCGAAGGUGGGGCUGAUGACUGGGGUGAAGUCGUAACAAGGUAGCCGUACCGGAAGGUGCGGCUGGAUCACCUCCUAACAGGGAGACAAAAACUGAUUAUUGAUGUCUAAUUUUUUAAUUUAGGCCAUAAUCCUGUCACCUUAGGUCGAUCGGCACCUCAGAUUAUUGAUCAAAGAGAAAUGAGCAAUCAAUUUUUUUUUCUUUAAUUUCAGUUCCUAAACUUGUCUAGGUCACACCCGACAAACUUUCUCCUGGGCUAUUAGCUCAGGCGGUUAGAGCGCACCCCUGAUAAGGGUGAGGUCCCUGGUUCAAGUCCAGGAUGGCCCAUUCGUUGUUGGGGGUAUAGCUCAGUUGGUAGAGCGCCUGCUUUGCAAGCAGGAUGUCAGCGGUUCGAGUCCGCUUACCUCCACUGAUCAACUACCUGAUAACUCAAUUUGGAGAUUGUCAUUUGUUUUUAGUGAUUUAGAUGUUGUUCUGAUGAUUGAACCUAGCUUCCUGUCAUCCCUUAUUUUUUUUAAGGUUGAUAAGACGCUGGGCUCUCUGAUAUUCGAAAGAAUUUCAGUUUGAUUCAGCAGAACCUUGACAACUGCAUAGAAAAAGUCUGGAAAGAAUAAAGCAUCUCAUAGAUGCAUGGAAAUUUAAAUUUCAGAGCUUCUGAUUUUUUUUUCUAUGAUUAAUUCUUGAGUUAGAGCAAUAAUCUAUGACUUGAAUUUAUAUAGUGAUGAACCUAAUUAAAUUUCAAUAGACCAUAGAUUUAAUGGUCAAGCUACAA